Molecule: ribosomal RNA, 274 nt
Filed under: uncultured bacterium
Lineage: Bacteria
Description: partial 16S ribosomal RNA
Rfam family: Bacterial small subunit ribosomal RNA
Source: RNAcentral
AUACGAAAGGUGCAAGCGUUGUUCGGAUUUACUGGGCGCAAAGAGAGUGUAGGUUGUUUAUUAAGUCGGAUGUGAAAUCCCGGGGCUCAACCUCGGAACUGCAUUCGAUACUGAUAGGCUAGAGUUUGGGAGGGGUAAGCGGAAUUCCGUGUGUAGCAGUGAAAUGCGUAGAUAUACGGAGGAACACCUGAGGCGAAGGCGGCUUACUGGACCAAUACUGACACUGAGACUCGAAAGCGUGGGUAGCAAACAGGAUUAGAAACCCUAGUAGUCC